AAAGGAAUUGACGGGGGCCCGCACAAGCAGUGGAGUAUGUGGUUUAAUUCGAAGCAACGCGAAGAACCUUACCAGGUCUUGACAUCUCCUGAAUAGCUAAGAGAUUAGCGAAGCCCUUCGGGGCAGGAAGACAGGUGGUGCAUGGUUGUCGUCAGCUCGUGUCGUGAGAUGUUGGGUUAAGUCCCGCAACGAGCGCAACCCUUGCUAUUAGUUGCUACAUUUAGUUGAGCACUCUAAUGGGACUGCCGUUGACAAAACGGAGGAAGGUGGGGAUGACGUCAAAUCAUCAUGCCCCUUAUGACCUGGGCUACACACGUACUACAAUGGCUACUAACAACGGGAAGCGAAGCCGCGAGGUGGAGCGAAUCCCCAAAAGUAGUCUCAGUUCGGAUUGUAGGCUGAAACUCGCCUAUAUGAAGUCGGAAUUGCUAGUAAUCGCAGAUCAGCAUGCUGCGGUGAAUACGUUCCCGGGCCUUGUACACACCGCCCGU
RNAcentral lists this ribosomal RNA (491 nucleotides) under uncultured bacterium. RNAcentral describes it as "bacterial SSU rRNA". It matches the Rfam family "Bacterial small subunit ribosomal RNA", at positions 903 to 1397 of the family's 1533-position model. The record is from RNAcentral.